RNAcentral lists this microRNA precursor (81 nucleotides) under Loxodonta africana (African savanna elephant). RNAcentral describes it as "mir-769 microRNA precursor family". It matches the Rfam family "mir-769 microRNA precursor family". The record is from Rfam by way of RNAcentral. Lineage: Eukaryota; Metazoa; Chordata; Mammalia; Proboscidea; Elephantidae.
GGGCUCUGACCUGAGACCUCUGGGUUCUGAGCUGUGAUGUCGCUUCUGAGCUGGGACCUCCGGGGUCUUGGUUCAGGGUCG